This 467-nucleotide ribosomal RNA is filed under the name uncultured bacterium. Its description in RNAcentral is "partial 16S ribosomal RNA". It matches the Rfam family "Bacterial small subunit ribosomal RNA", at positions 28 to 507 of the family's 1533-position model. The record is from RNAcentral.
GAUGAACGCUGACAGCAUGCUUAACACAUGCAAGUCAACUUGAAUUUGGGUUCUUAACUUAGGUUUGGGUGGCGGACGGGUGAGUAACGCGUAAAGAACUUGCCUCCCAGCUAGGGACAACAUUUGGAAACGAAUGCUCAUACCUAAUAUUAUGAUAAUAGGGCAUCCUAUAAUUAUGAAAGCUAUAAGCGCUGUGAGAGAGCUUUGCGUCCCAUUAGCUAGUUGGAGAGGUAACGGCUAACCAAGGCGAUGAUGGGUAGCCGGCCUGAGAGGGUGAUCGGCCAAAAGGGGACUGAGACACGGCCCGUACUCCUACGGGAGGCAGCAGUGGGGAAUAUGGGAAAAGGGACCGAGAGUCUGAUCCAGAAAUCCUGUGUGCACGAUGAAGUUUUGCGGAAUGAAAAGUGCUUUCAGUUGAGAAGAAGCAAAUGACGGUACCAACAGAAGAAGUGACGGCUAAAUACGUG